Molecule: ribosomal RNA, 468 nt
Filed under: uncultured bacterium
Lineage: Bacteria
Description: partial 16S ribosomal RNA
Rfam family: Bacterial small subunit ribosomal RNA
Source: RNAcentral
GACGAACGCUGGCGGCGUGCUUAACACAUGCAAGUCGAACGGAAAGGCCCUGCUUUUGUGGGGUGCUCGAGUGGCGAACGGGUGAGUAACACGUGAGUAACCUGCCCUUGACUUUGGGAUAACUUCAGGAAACUGGGGCUAAUACCGGAUAGGAGCUCCUGCUGCAUGGUGGGGGUUGGAAAGUUUCGGCGGUUGGGGAUGGACUCGCGGCUUAUCAGCUUGUUGGUGGGGUAGUGGCUUACCAAGGCUUUGACGGGUAGCCGGCCUGAGAGGGUGACCGGCCACAUUGGGACUGAGAUACGGCUCCGACUCCUACGGGAGGCAGCAGUGGGGAAUCUUGCACAAUGGGCGGAAGCCUGAUGCAGCAACGCCGCGUGCUGGAUGACGGCCUUCGGGUUGUACACCGCUUUCGCCUGUGACGAAGCGUGAGUGACGGUAAUGGGUAAAGAAGCACCGGCUAACUACGUG